This 465-nucleotide ribosomal RNA is filed under the name uncultured bacterium. Its description in RNAcentral is "bacterial SSU rRNA". It matches the Rfam family "Bacterial small subunit ribosomal RNA", at positions 338 to 795 of the family's 1533-position model. The record is from RNAcentral.
CCUACGGGACGCACCAGUGGGGAAUAUUGCACAAUGGGCGCAAGCCUGAUGCAGCCAUGCCGCGUGUGUGAAGAAGGCCUUCGGGUUGUAAAGCACUUUCAGCGGGGAGGAAGGCGGUGAGGUUAGUAACCUCAUCGAUUGACGUUGCCCGCAGAAGAAGCACCGGCUAACUCCGUGCCAGCAGCCGCGGUAAUACGGAGGGUGCAAGCGUUAAUCGGAAUUACUGGGCGUAAAGCGCACGCAGGCGGUCUGUCAAGUCGGAUGUGAAAUCCCCGGGCUCAACCUGGGAACUGCAUUCGAAACUGGCAGGCUAGAGUCUUGUAGAGGGGGGUAGAAUUCCAGGUGUAGCGGUGAAAUGCGUAGAGAUCUGGAGGAAUACCGGUGGCGAAGGCGGCCCCCUGGACAAAGACUGACGCUCAGGUGCGAAAGCGUGGGGAGCAAACAGGAUUAGAUACCCUCGUAGUC